RNAcentral lists this long non-coding RNA (224 nucleotides) under Carica papaya (papaya). RNAcentral's name for it is "long non-coding RNA (CPAP_LNC009096)". Lineage: Eukaryota; Viridiplantae; Streptophyta; Magnoliopsida; Brassicales; Caricaceae. The record is from RNAcentral.
UCACUCAUUACACAUGACUGCUUAAUUAAAAUCUUGGGCUUUAUUUUUCAUGAAUUCAACAUUCGAAAUUUGGAAGAUUAUUGGGUUGCUUCUUAAUGUGACCUAGUGAAUUUGACUCAUUUCUUUCAUGGUUCUCCAAAGUUGACCCAAGCUUUCAUUCUUCAUUGAUUCAUUUUUGAACGUAAACUUGAAAGGCUCCUUUGAGUCUUUUGACCCACGAUCUA